AAGCAGUGGGAGCCUCUUUAUGGGGUGACUGCGUACCUUUUGUAUAAUGGGUCAGCGACUUAUAUUCUGUAGCAAGGUUAACCGAAUAGGGGAGCCGAAGGGAAACCGAGUCUUAACUGGGCGUUAAGUUGCAGGGUAUAGACCCGAAACCCGGUGAUCUAGCCAUGGGCAGGUUGAAGGUUGGGUAACACUAACUGGAGGACCGAACCGACUAAUGUUGAAAAAUUAGCGGAUGACUUGUGGCUGGGGGUGAAAGGCCAAUCAAACCGGGAGAUAGCUGGUUCUCCCCGAAAGCUAUUUAGGUAGCGCCUCGUGAACUCAUCUCCGGGGGUAGAGCACUGUUUCGGCAAGGGGGUCAUCCCGACUUACCAACCCGAUGCAAACUGCGAAUACCGGAGAAUGUUAUCACGGGAGACACACGGCGGGUGCUAACGUCCGUCGUGAAGAGGGAAACAACCCAGACCGCCAGCUAAGGUCCCAAAGUCAUGGUUAAGUGGGAAACGAUGUGGGAAGGCCCAGACAGCCAGGAUGUUGGCUUAGAAGCAGCCAUCAUUUAAAGAAAGCGUAAUAGCUCACUGGUCGAGUCGGCCUGCGCGGAAGAUGUAACGGGGCUAAACCAUGCACCGAAGCUGCGGCAGCGACGCUGAUGCGUUGUUGGGUAGGGGAGCGUUCUGUAAGCCUGUGAAGGUGUGCUGUGAGGCAUGCUGGAGGUAUC
This 715-nucleotide ribosomal RNA is filed under the name Escherichia coli. RNAcentral describes it as "bacterial LSU rRNA". It matches the Rfam family "Bacterial large subunit ribosomal RNA", at positions 568 to 1283 of the family's 2925-position model. The record is from RNAcentral. Lineage: Bacteria; Pseudomonadati; Pseudomonadota; Gammaproteobacteria; Enterobacterales; Enterobacteriaceae.